AGAGAGAGACAUGCGCGCAUAUCAAUAAGCGGAGGAAAAGAAACUAACAAGGAUUCCCUUAGUAACGGCGAGUGAAGCGGGAAGAGCUCAAAUUUGAAAUCUUCAAGGUUUUACCUUGACGAAUUGUAGUUUAAAGAAGUGUUUUCUGCUGAAGUUUUGGUAAAAGUUCUUUGGAAUAGGACAUCAUAGAGGGUGAGAAUCCCGUAGUUUGACCAUUAUUUUCAGCUUUGUGAUACACUUUCAAAGAGUCGGAUUGUUUGGGAAUGCAGUCCAAAAUGGGUGGUAAAUUUCAUCUAAAGCUAAAUAUUGGCGAGAGACCGAUAGCGAACAAGUAUCGUGAGGGAAAGAUGAAAAGAACUUUGAAAAGAGAGUUAAACAGUACGUGAAAUUGUCAAAAGGGAAGCGUUUGACACCAGUGUUGUUUUCUCGAAAAUCAAUUAAAAAUGGCUCGAUUUUGUAUUGCUUGAGACCUUAAAAGCUCACUGUACAUUUUUCGUGUCUUUUUUAAUGCACUUUUCGUUUAACAAGUCAACAUCAGUUUCUUUUGUUGUAAAAGGGUCAUUGGAAGGUGGCUUUCUUUUCGGAGAAAGUGUUUAUAGCCUUUGGCCUCUGCAAUCGGAGAGACUGAGGUCUGCAGCGUAGACUCUUCGGGGUUAGAUACAUUUGUGCUAAGUUAUAGCUUUUUAUAGACAACUUGUUGACUAUAAUUAGUCUUGUAGCUUACUCGCUUAUGCUAUUUUACCUACGCUUAGGAUGUUGAAGAUGUAGCACAUCAU
RNAcentral lists this ribosomal RNA (776 nucleotides) under uncultured Neocallimastigales. RNAcentral's name for it is "partial large subunit ribosomal RNA". It matches the Rfam family "Eukaryotic large subunit ribosomal RNA", at positions 23 to 620 of the family's 3401-position model. Lineage: Eukaryota; Fungi; Neocallimastigomycota; Neocallimastigomycetes; Neocallimastigales. The record is from RNAcentral.